UAGAAAAAUUUGGCAACAUUUUGAAAGUUUUUAAAGCCCUCCACAAACGCCCACUGGGCAGCCCUAUUGUAAUGUCUCUCUGCGAAUGGGGUCAAGUGUGUAUAUGGCUCUCAAGUGCUCAAGGCGGUAUGAGCAGCACGGCUCAAGCGGCCAAAAGAAAACAAUAAACUGUGGGCCAAAAAAAAAACAAAA
Long non-coding RNA from Drosophila navojoa, 192 nucleotides. The record is from RefSeq and is a predicted model, not a curated record. NCBI's taxonomy places the organism in Eukaryota, Metazoa, Arthropoda, Insecta, Diptera, Drosophilidae.